RNAcentral lists this ribosomal RNA (388 nucleotides) under uncultured bacterium. Its description in RNAcentral is "bacterial SSU rRNA". It matches the Rfam family "Bacterial small subunit ribosomal RNA", at positions 29 to 418 of the family's 1533-position model. The record is from RNAcentral.
AUUGAACGCUGGCGGAAUGCUUUACACAUGCAAGUCGAGCGGCAGCGCGGGGGCAACCCUGGCGGCGAGCGGCGAACGGGUGAGUAACAUAUCGGAACGUACCCAGUCGUGGGGGAUAACUAUCCGAAAGGAUAGCUAAUACCGCAUACGUCCUGAGGGAGAAAGCGGGGGAUCGCAAGACCUCGCGCGAUUGGAGCGGCCGAUAUCGGAUUAGCUAGUUGGUGGGGUAAAGGCUCACCAAGGCGACGAUCCGUAGCGGGUCUGAGAGGACGACCCGCCACACUGGAACUGAGACACGGUCCAGACUCCUACGGGAGGCAGCAGUGGGGAAUUUUGGACAAUGGGGGCAACCCUGAUCCAGCCAUUCCGCGUGAGUGAAGAAGGCCUC